Long non-coding RNA from Ictalurus punctatus (channel catfish), 359 nucleotides. NCBI's taxonomy places the organism in Eukaryota, Metazoa, Chordata, Actinopteri, Siluriformes, Ictaluridae. The record is from Ensembl.
GAUACAACCAACAGUCAAUUCACCAUGAUAGUAGUGCAACCUACUAUUUGUGCUUUCCUUUUACUUGGAGCCUUGUGUUUGCAGGCCAGAAGCAUGUUAGUGUGAGUGGUGCUCAUACAAGUGUAUCACUUGCAAUAAAAAAAGUGUGUAGCAGAGCAUUGACUCUAAGCAUUCAGUCACCUGAUCGAGUUCCCUAGGAUCAGACGGUGAUCCAAAUCUAAUUGAUGUCUCUGGGAGGUUCUUGAUGAAGGUCAGAGGCGAGGGAGUCUAUGGCAGCGCAAUGAACCAGCUCAACCAUCCAUCCAUCUUCAACCACUUACUCCUUUUCAGGGUCGCAGGGGAGCCUGGAGCCUAUCCCA